UUACAAUGGACAGCACAUUGGAAUGAUUGGCUGCGCAUUCGGAUGGUUUAAAAAAGCAAAUAGUAUUGGCUGACCCAAAACACUCAGCAGAAUCCUCAGCACAUAUUUGACUAGGUUCCUCCCCAUAGCCCACAUACCAUGUUGUUUUCUCAUUACUGCUCCUCUUUUAGGCUAGCUGCUGAUUGGAAUUUUUGUGCAAGAUUCAUCCCUUCAUGGAGCUUUCAGACAAGGCCACUCAGAAGCCGCCUCAGAGUCGCCCCAAGGCUACAGCCUACCUGGAGAAAGCUAUGGUCCAUUCAGUCACAGAGCUGGACAGAUCUUCAAGAAAGAAGCUUGAAACUCCUAAAUCCAGAGAAUGAAUUGUUGCAUAAAGAUGACAGAAAACCCUACACUUCAUCAAGAAGAUCAAGAAUGAACUGAAGUUUGAUUGAAUGUUUAUUGUAAAUAUACACAUUUAUGCCAAAAGGGACUGCCCCUAAUUUGGCUUUCUGUCAAUGAGCCUAGCAAAACAUUGGUUUUUCUUUCUUUCUUUUCUAUUCCUCCCUCACUACUCUAAUUUCCUCUUAGAAAAUUGAAUAUUGCAUAUAUGUAUAGUUAGAAGUGCAUUUAGGACUACAAGAUGAUUAUGUUAAAUGAUCAUCAGGGGGGAUUGUGAACCUUAAAAAUUCCCAGACCCUACUUCAUAAGAUUGGAUUAAGACCAUUUCCCAUUUGGGCAGUGAACUCUACUUAGAUCAGGAAUGUGAGACCUCUACUCCACCCCUACUUAAGUCUGCCCUAGGGGAAGAUAAAGUUAUAAACUCUUUUCUGAACAAUGAAAAGUACUUAAACCCAUACUUAUAAUAAGGGGAAAAGUUCUUAAGCUAAGUACUUAUAAAAGUCAGGCAACUUGUGAAUUUACAAGGAACAAAGAGCUGAGAAACUUACUCAGAGCUUUCCUGGUGUGAAUUACUCAAAAAUCCACACCUUCUUAGGUGUGGACUAAGAAUAGUCCUUUGAAAAAUGUCUACUGUGAUUGGUAGAUGGGAGAACUUAGGGGAGGUGACAUAGGAGAAAAUUCCCUAUAUAAGGAGAUGAGAAAUCUGAGAAAAAAAAAAAACAGUCUCUAAGGAGGCUGUUGAGAGAGGGUCUCUAAGGAGGCUCUGAAGGGAGGCUGACUCUGGCUGGAACUCCCUCUGAGGAGACUGUCCCUCUGAAUCCUUGCUUGAACAGAUCUUAUGGUGAGUGAUUAAGGACUGACUGAUCUCUCUCUUAAGACUCAGGUCUAGACCUUUCGGCUAAGGCCCUUCAUGCUUAUCCCUUUCUUAUUCUCUCUCAUUUUCUUAAUUCCACAUUUGUAUUAAUUAAAAUCGCUAUAAAACCCAGUUGACUUGGGUAUAUUCAUAAUUGGGAAUAUUUCCCUGGCGACCACCUUAUAUAUUGAAUUAAAAACAAGACACUGUAGUGAAAACAUAUUUUCUGCGGUCACAAUUUUCUCAUCCACUCUUAUAUCUACUAUAAUUUAUAUCAUCCAUUAUUUUAAUCACUACAGUUUAUGACCACAACUAUUGUAACUCUUAUACAACACAGCCAGUAGACAUCUAUGUUCUGCAAGGAACAUGAGUAACUGAACAAUGGAGUGAUUUUUCUACCCUCUUCCAUCAGUCAUUACUGGCAAUGUCUGUUCCUUAUACAUAUGCUUCAUUAUCAUUGUACUUCAAGUAUACUUUCUAUGACCCUGCAUAGAUUCUGUGUGUCUUUGUGGGAACGUGUGGCCCAAUUUUAUUGGUAGGUGAGGAGGAAUUCUAUGUAACUUAUGCAAUCUAAACAAAUGUCUUUUCUAAGAGCUAAUUUAGUUUACUUGCUAUUUGUUCACGGGGAAACACACUGUUGGGGGCUCAUGAAUUAAAGUAUUAGAAAUAAUCUUCCAUCCCUAGAACUUGAAUAGAGCAGGAGGGUCUUACAUCUCUCUCUUGUUGUUGGAUUUGGUUUUUUGUCCCCCUUGAUGCCCUUUGUUUUUGACUGGUGUAGAAGGGUAUUCACAGAGGAAUCAAGUUUUGCUGUUUCUAAGCUGCCAUCUUGACUCCGCCUCGACAUCCUUAGAACUUGUUGCUCCCCUGUCAACUCAAUCUGCCCAUAUAAGUGCAAAUAGGGAGAGGGAAUUCAGGGGUAGUGGUACACUCUAUGUCUGUCAUUCUGGGACCAGCCUGUGUAAAUUCAGAAAGAUUCAUCAUCCUGAGGUUGACUAUCAUAUUAUGAUUUGUUUUGGAUAAAGCAACUCAUGAAAUCACUUCCCAAGAUGAUGUUUGCUACUUGUUCUUUCAAAAAAGACAAAGAUCCUGCUGCCUAAGGACCUUGGCUUUUGAGUUUGUCACUUCCAAGGUAGGGAGUAAUAAAAUUAUAGGGUUUUCUAUUCA
Molecule: long non-coding RNA, 2395 nt
Filed under: Monodelphis domestica (gray short-tailed opossum)
Lineage: Eukaryota; Metazoa; Chordata; Mammalia; Didelphimorphia; Didelphidae
Description: lncRNA (ENSMODG00000031552.2)
Source: RNAcentral